This 109-nucleotide ribosomal RNA is filed under the name Castor canadensis (American beaver). The record is from RNAcentral. Lineage: Eukaryota; Metazoa; Chordata; Mammalia; Rodentia; Castoridae.
GUCUACAGCCAUACCACUCUGAACACACCCGAUCUCAUCUGAUCUCAGAAGCUAAGUGGGGUCGGGCUUGGUUAGUACUUGGUGGGAGAAAAGAGGAUUGCACUGCACU